Molecule: transfer RNA, 72 nt
Organism: Camelus ferus (Wild Bactrian camel)
Lineage: Eukaryota; Metazoa; Chordata; Mammalia; Artiodactyla; Camelidae
Rfam family: tRNA
About the family: Transfer RNA (tRNA) molecules are approximately 80 nucleotides in length. Their secondary structure includes four short double-helical elements and three loops (D, anti-codon, and T loops).
Source: Rfam
GAGGGUAUAGCUCAGUGCCAGAGUGUGUGCUUAGCAUGCACAAGGUCCUGGGUUCAAUCCCCAGUACCUCCA